This is an RNA transcript of Sinocyclocheilus rhinocerous, 2699 nucleotides long. It is a transcript of the gene named lactadherin-like, with no coding region annotated. NCBI's taxonomy places the organism in Eukaryota, Metazoa, Chordata, Actinopteri, Cypriniformes, Cyprinidae. The transcript is spliced from 12 exons. The record is from RefSeq and is a predicted model, not a curated record.
GUAUACAUUUCUUUACGAAGAGAAAAUAGGCAGGACCACAAAAGUAAAGCAUGUUCACAACAUCCCCAUAGGGUGUUUACUGAUGACUUUCAAUAGGGGAUAAUAGGAUUACUGACUUUACAAACAAACAGACAGUAGGGUACCAAUAUGAAGACUCGGGGGCUCACUCGGUCCUGUAGAAUAGUUUUUGUCAGUUUGGUCAUUUGCAGCAUUUGUACUGUGAAUGGAGAUUACUGCAAGGUGAACCUGUGUCAUAAUGGAGGGACGUGUGUGACUGGCAUUGGAGAAGAUCCCUUCUUCUGCAUCUGUGCCGAAGGAUUUGCUGGAGAUACGUGCAAUGCCACUGAGAAUGGUCCUUGUAAUCCAAACCCAUGUAAAAACGAUGGCACAUGUGAGGUGAUCUCUAACUCCAGAAGAGGAGACGUUUUUAAUGAGUAUGUGUGCAAAUGCCAACCUGGGUUCGAAGGUGCACACUGCCAUAUCAAUGUGAAUGACUGUGCAAACCAGCCUUGUAAGAAUGGAGGCCUGUGUCGUGAUCUGGAUGGGGACUACACCUGCCACUGCCCUUCUCCAUACGUUGGGAAGCAAUGCCAACUACGUUGUACAUCUCUGUUGGGGAUGGAGGAAGGUGGAAUCGUAGAGUCCCAGUUCUCGGCUUCCUCUGUACACUCUGGCAUUCUGGGGCUGCAGCACUGGGGACCAGAGCUUGCACGCCUCAACAACCAGGGCCUUGUCAAUGCCUGGAGCGCCGCACCCCAAGACAAGAACCCCUGGAUUGAGGUUAACAUGCAGAAGAAGAUGCGCCUCACUGGAAUCAUAACACAAGGAGCCAGCCGCAUGGGGACAGCCGUGUUUGUUAAGACUUUCAAGGUUGCAUCCAGCUUUGAUGGCAAAUCAUACACAGUGUACAGAGCAGAUGGCCAGAGAAGAGGCAAAGUAUUUGUGGGAAAUGCAGAUAACGAUGGAACUAAGACAAACAUGUUUGACCUUCCCAUUGUGGCCCAGUAUAUUCGCAUUAUUCCUGUGGUGUGCCGUAAAGCUUGUACUCUCCGGAUGGAACUUGUGGGCUGUGAACUUAACGUGCACUCCAGCACAAUUGGUUGCACCGAUCCGCUGGGCAUGAAAUCCCGUCUCAUCUCUGAUGUGCAGCUUACAGCAUCUAGCAGCUUCCGCACCUGGGGUAUAGAUGCCUUUACCUGGUAUCCCUUCUAUGCUCGCCUGGACAAACAAGGCAAGACUAACGCUUGGGCGGCAGCGAACAACAACCGCUCAGAGUGGCUCCAGCUGGAUUUGGAGAAACCUAAAAGAAUCACAGGCAUCAUCACUCAGGGAGCAAAAGACUUUGGAGUUGUGCAGUUUGUUUCAGCCUUUAAGAUUGCAUAUAGUGAUGACGGACAAUCUUGGAGCAUUGUGAAGGAUCAAAUAACGAGAACAGAUAAGAUUUUCCAAGGCAACAUAGACAACAACACACACAAAAAGAAUUUGUUUGAGCCUCCGUUCUUUGCUCGAUUUGUGCGGUUUCUGCCCUGGGAGUGGCAUGAGCGGAUAACUGUACGCAUGGAGCUGCUGGGCUGUGAUGAUUAGCGGACAUGCUGAAGGCUGCACACUGCCUCUCUCUGCACUACUUUCACCUGAAGUGUUUCUGCUGGUUGUAGACAACAAAUCUACCAGAGAAGAUGUCAUGCUUCAAAUCCACCAGAAGAUGGCAGAAGGCUUUAGGCUUCAUACUCUAUAACAAGGUUCUCUAGGCGACAUGGGAGAAACAGGUUAGGGCAUCACAAACAGCCUAAAAGGGGUCCAUUCAGUCACAGGGAAGUUCAUUCCUUCCACUCCACCCAAUUAGGCAAACAUUAUCAUCUGUUUAAAAAUAAAUUUCUAGACUGAAUUUCCGUCCUACCUGUACAUUGUGAAUAACCUCUCUGAGUACUCUUUGCCCUUCAUUCCUGCUCUGUAUGACAGACUACCAGCCAACAAACAAAUCAGUCCUGUAUUAAACAUGAUGUAUGGAAUGUUUUAAUGGCACGUUGUUGCAUUUGCUGUAAUACAGGUAUUCAAACACAAAGUUCAUCUGAAGACAUUCAUGGAUAAAUUGAAAUUCUCCUACUAUAAGACAACAGAUUAUCACAAUGACAGUAUCGUCUCAUAUUUUCCCAGGUUUUCACUGUUGACUGGUCACUCAUCCAUCUCAAUUCAAGAAAUGAUAGGUUUUCUAUGCCACAGAGUAUCAAACCGCUUGCAAUUCAUGAGAAAAAAAAUGCUUUUCAAGAAAUAUUUGUGCAUCUGCAGUUCAUGCUGCAUUCGUCAUUUCAGCUGUAUUAGAUGAAAAUAAAGCUAUGCUGUAUAAAAGAUAGCUCCCGCUGCCUUUGGGAUGAAAGGGGCACAGCCUCUUGUACUAAGUAAGCAGUCUCAUCACAGAAACAGGCAAAAUGUAAAAUAUUCACAAGGCACUUGUCAUUAAUAGUUCUAUCUGAACUAUUGUUAUAAAAUAAAAGCUGUUAGCUGAUCCAGGGUCAUUCUUGUCCCCAUGUAGUACUAUGCCCUGCACAGUCUUGGGCGACAGAUAACAUCUAACAAACAAGUACAUUUUCAUUUUUGGGUUUACAUUCCUAAUCUGACUGGAUUUGGCCAUCUCUGUCUGAUGUUCUUUAAAGGAAUAGUUCACUUGAAAAUGAAAAUUUGUUCACUUCCAGGCCAAGUUU